RNAcentral lists this long non-coding RNA (1388 nucleotides) under Homo sapiens (human). Its description in RNAcentral is "long intergenic non-protein coding RNA 910". The record is from RNAcentral. Lineage: Eukaryota; Metazoa; Chordata; Mammalia; Primates; Hominidae.
GGAAACCCCGGAACUAGAACUGGUGUAAGAUUUCUCUUGGUUUUUGUGUUGUUGUUGUUGUUUUGUUGUUGUUUUGAGACAGAGUCUCGCUCUGUCGCCCAAGCUGGAGUGCAGUGGCGCGAUCUCGGUUCACUGCAACCUCCGCCUCCCGGGUUCAAGUGAUUCUACUGCCCAGCCUCCCUAGUAGCUGGGAUUACAGGCGCGCGACACCACGCCUGACUAAUUUUUGUUUUUUUGUUUUUGUUUUUUUUUUAGAUGGAGUCUCACUCUGUCGCCCAGGCUGGAGUGUAGUAGCGCAAUCUUGGCUCACUGCAACCUCGGACUCCCAGGUUCAAGAGAUUCUCCUGCAUCAGCCUCCCAAGUAGCUGGGACUACAGAUCUCUUCAACUACCUGUGAAAACUGAUGUGAUGAAAAGGGGAAUUUGAAGGAGCCAUUCCAGAAGACAGGGCGAAAACUGAAGUGCAAUCAGGGCCAAGAAAAACAGAAAUAGCAGGACCUGGAGUUGCAUAGGUUGAAUAGUUGAAUAGGCUGCUCUCCUCAGCUGGCAGGAAACCUGGCAGCCUCCUGGUGCCCAAGGACUGAAAACCUUAGAAGCACCUGGAGUUGGCAGCCUUGGCAUGGUCAGGUUGGCACCUCUGGAGGUGCCCAGGCUUCCCUGGCAGCAUUGUGAGCAGUGGAUGGUGUUGAAGGGCAGCCAGAGGAGGAAUGGAACACAUGCUCCUUGCUAACCACACGGACAAGGCCACGUUCACAGGUACACAAAGGCAACGCAGUUGCUCAGGUGCUUCGGUAUCACAGCCAAGACCCCUUCGGGGGAAGCUAGUCGGAUACUGGGACCCACAUUCCAGACUACUGAGCCGCGGUCGCGCCCUCGGCUCCGUUUCUGCUCCCUCCACCCCACGAGGACGGGGGUGGAAGGCCACCUUCGAUGGGUGCAUCCUCCACGAUGACCUGCUAACAAAGGUGCAUGGAUUUCAGAGUCUGAUUGGCCUACAACAGCAUUUGGCUUGUGGAGACAGUGGUUCCCUGAUGAAAAACUGCCAUGAUGGGAAUAGAAACAAUCAGAGGAAACUUCCGUGAGUUCCCAGGACACAUCCACCCACCUCCUCCACGUGUAACCACCACCUCUACCUUCCCCUCUGGUGCUGUGGAUGAGCCAUCCGUGCUCCUGGCAAAGGCCCACCUGCCACUUGGGCACAGGAACCCAUCCAUCCCUCCUUACCUCUGGUAACUCUCCCUCUCUCUCUCCUGCAUCCUUCAUAUUCUCUGGGUUGUAUUCUCUUCCAGCCCCCACCCCCUGCCCACCUCCAGCAUGUAAAAGUGCUGUUAUUGUUUCCACUUUAAAACAAACCCUAAAAAUAAGUAAAUAAAAUAAACCCUACCCUGA